GUUGGGCGUGGAGUUACACGCAUGGAGUUGCUGCUUCUGGGGAGACUGAGGCUGGUGAAUCUUUAAGCUUAGGAGUUCUGAACUACACUGGGCUAAUCUGAUCAGGUUUCUGCACCAAAUCCAGCAUCAAUAUGGUAAGCUCUUAGGGGGAGUGGGGAACAAGGUUACCUGAGAGGUGAACAGGUUCAGGUCAGAAAUCAGCAGGUCAAAGCUUCUAUGCUAAUCAGUAGUGAGAUUGUACCUGGGAGUAGUCCCUGCACUUUCAAACUGGAUGAAUAGAAUAAUUCUGGCAUCU
This 295-nucleotide signal recognition particle RNA is filed under the name Phascolarctos cinereus (koala). RNAcentral's name for it is "Metazoan signal recognition particle RNA (ENSPCIG00000024589.2)". It matches the Rfam family "Metazoan signal recognition particle RNA". Rfam says of the family: The signal recognition particle (SRP) is a universally conserved ribonucleoprotein. It is involved in the co-translational targeting of proteins to membranes. Lineage: Eukaryota; Metazoa; Chordata; Mammalia; Diprotodontia; Phascolarctidae. The record is from RNAcentral.